UACGGAGGGUGCAAGCGUUAUCCGGAUUUAUUGGGUUUAAAGGGUCCGUAGGCGGUUUAAUAAGUCAGUGGUGAAAUUUCUGGGCUCAACCGAGAACUUGCCAUUGAUACUGUUAGUCUAGAAUAUAUUUGAAGUAGGCGGAAUGUAGUAUGUAGCGGUGAUAUGCUUAGAUAUACUACAGAACACCGAUAGCGUAGGCAGCUUACUAAGAUAUUAUUGACGCUGAGGGACGAGAGCAUGGGGAUCAAACAGG
RNAcentral lists this ribosomal RNA (253 nucleotides) under uncultured bacterium. RNAcentral describes it as "partial 16S ribosomal RNA". It matches the Rfam family "Bacterial small subunit ribosomal RNA", at positions 524 to 776 of the family's 1533-position model. The record is from RNAcentral.